Molecule: long non-coding RNA, 1146 nt
Filed under: Astyanax mexicanus (Mexican tetra)
Lineage: Eukaryota; Metazoa; Chordata; Actinopteri; Characiformes; Acestrorhamphidae
Description: lncRNA (ENSAMXG00005007234.1)
Source: RNAcentral
AGCUCGCGAUGCUAUUUAAACGGGAGGGAAGCGCGAGACUACGGUGGCCGAGAAAGCCCAGCGCAGUGCAAAUUGAAAAGCGCUGCAAAAGCACAAAACACAUCCAUCAAAAUUACAACACAGGCACAGCAAAUAGAAAAACGCGCUGCAACUAGAAAAACGCGCUGCAAAUAGAACCACAACACAACGGAAGUGAGUCACAACACAACGGAAUUUUCCCGGGGGACCUUAAAAGAUGCUGUACCAGCUGUAUACAAAGGACAAUAAGUGGCAAACAAGCUUCUGAAAAGUAAGUUAUGUUUAUUAAAAGUUCUGCUUCACAAAACGCCUUGUUUGCCACUUAUUGUCCUUUGUACACAUAGUGAAGUCCGAGACGUUACUGAAGACGCAGCUUAGCUGGUACAGUAUCUUUUAAGGUCCCCCGGGAAAAUUCCGUUGUGUUGUGACUCACUUCCGUUGUGUUGUGGUUCUAUUUGCAGCGCGUUUUUCUAUUUGCAGCGCGUUUUUCUAGUUGCAGCGCGUUUUUCUAUUUGCUGCGCCUGUGUUGUAAUUUUGAUGGAUGUGUUUUGUGCUUUUGCAGCGCUUUUCAAUUUGCACUGCGUUGGGCUUUCUCGGCCACCGUACGAGACGCACCUGAGUGUCGAAAACAAAACAGAAUAAAAAGAUGAAGAAGAAAGAAAACACAAAUAAAAUGCGAUCAGUUAGAGGGAAAAAACGCGGAGAGACGAAGGGAUGACGCAGAGCAUCUGUUCUUUAUUUCUCUGUUUAAUUUCCAUUUUUUUCGUGUGAUCAUCUGCAUUUUCCGAAUGAAGGGCACGCGGGGCUACUGAACAGUGUGCUAAUGGAAGGGUCGCACACCCCACUCCACCCCCAUGUAGGUGCACGUGCCUCCGUCAGACUCUUAACUCUGUCCCAUCACGGCCACGUGUGAGUGAAUCAACACACACCGCGACCUGCUCUGUGCCUUUGGUCCUUUGUCCGGGGAGAGAAAGCGAAAGACGGGAAGGCUCUAAAGUUAACAGCAUGCUGGAUGGCCCAUACACACACACGCCUGCACACGCGCGAGCCCAUACACACACAAACACCCUUUACAUAGUUAAUUAGUCAAGAUUCCAAUAUACAAAUUAACAAAACUGAUCUCUGUUU